UUGCGUUAGGGAUUGAUGCGGCAUCCUUUUUGUAAAGAUAAAAGUGCUUUAAGUUUGGUUGAAACUGGUGUUUAAAAAAAGUAAGUAGUUUUAAAUACAGAAAGGCGUUUGCAAAAAGAUAUAGCGGAAAGCCCGACCCUUG
Molecule: small RNA, 142 nt
Rfam family: Flavo-1 RNA